UACGUAGGGUGCGAGCGUUAAUCGGAAUUACUGGGCGUAAAGCGCGCGCAGGCGGUUCUCCAAGUCAGUGGUGAAAGCCCGGAGCUCAACUCCGGAAUUGCCAUUGAAACUGUUGAACUUGAGGACGAGAGAGGUGAGUGGAAUUCCCAGUGUAGAGGUGAAAUUCGUAGAUAUUGGGAAGAACACCGGUGGCGAAGGCGGCUCACUGGCUCGUUUCUGACGCUCAGGCGCGACAGCGUGGGGAUCAAACAGG
Molecule: ribosomal RNA, 253 nt
Filed under: uncultured bacterium
Lineage: Bacteria
Description: partial 16S ribosomal RNA
Rfam family: Bacterial small subunit ribosomal RNA
Source: RNAcentral